Molecule: ribosomal RNA, 465 nt
Filed under: uncultured bacterium
Lineage: Bacteria
Description: partial 16S ribosomal RNA
Rfam family: Bacterial small subunit ribosomal RNA
Source: RNAcentral
GACGAACGCUGGCGGCGUGCUUAACACAUGCAAGUCGAACGGAAAGGCGCCUUCGGGGGUCCUCGAGUGGCUAACGGGUGAGUAACACGAGAGUAACCUGCCCUUGACUUCGGGAUAACUUCAGGAAGCGGGGGCUAAUACCGGCUCGGAAUCCUUUCUGCAUGGGGUGGGUUGGAAAGUUUCGGCGGUUUUGGGUGGACUCGCGGUCUAUCUGCUUGUUGGUUUGGUAGUGGCUUACGAAGGCGUUGACGGGUAGCUGGCCUGUGACGGCGACCGGCCACAUUGGGACUGAGGGGCGGCACAGACUCCUACGGGAGGAAGCAGAGGAGAAUGUUGCACAAUGAGCGGGAGGCUGAUGCAGCAACGCGGCGUGCGGGAUGACAGCCUUCGGGUUGUGAACCGCUUUCAGCAGGGGCGAAGCUUGUGGUGACGGUACCUGCAGAGGAAGCAACGGCUAACUACGUG